RNAcentral lists this ribosomal RNA (281 nucleotides) under uncultured soil bacterium. RNAcentral's name for it is "partial 16S ribosomal RNA". It matches the Rfam family "Bacterial small subunit ribosomal RNA", at positions 26 to 307 of the family's 1533-position model. The record is from RNAcentral.
AGGAUGAACGCUGGCGGCGUGUUUAACACAUGCAAGUCGAACGAUGAAGCAGAGCUUGCUCUGUGGAUUAGUGGCGAACGGGUGAGUAACACGUGAGUAACCUGCCCUUGACUCUGGAAUAAGCGUUGGAAACGACGUCUAAUACCGGAUACGAGCUUCCGCCGCAUGGUGAGGAGCUGGAAAGAAUUUCGGUCAAGGAUGGACUCGCGGCCUAUCAGGUAGUUGGUGAGGUAAUGGCUCACCAAGCCUACGACGGGUAGCCGGCCUGAGAGGGUGACCGG